UACAGAGGGGGCAAGCGUUGUUCGGAAUUACUGGGCGUAAAGGGCGCGUAGGCGGCCUUCUAAGUCGAACGUGAAAUCCCCGGGCUCAACCCGGGAACUGCGACCGAUACUGACAGGCUCGAAUCCGGGAGAGGGAUGUGGAAUUCCAGGUGUAGCGGUGAAAUGCGUAGAUAUCUGGAGGAACACCGGUGGCGAAGGCGGCAUCCUGGACCGGUAUUGACGCUGAGGCGCGAAAGCCAGGGGAGCAAACGGG
Molecule: ribosomal RNA, 253 nt
Filed under: uncultured bacterium
Lineage: Bacteria
Description: partial 16S ribosomal RNA
Rfam family: Bacterial small subunit ribosomal RNA
Source: RNAcentral